This 268-nucleotide ribosomal RNA is filed under the name uncultured eukaryote. Its description in RNAcentral is "partial 28S ribosomal RNA". It matches the Rfam family "Eukaryotic large subunit ribosomal RNA", at positions 1 to 266 of the family's 3401-position model. The record is from RNAcentral.
UUGACCUCAAAUCAGGUAAGGAUACCCGCUGAACUUAAGCAUAUCAAUAAGCGGAGGAAAAGAAACCAACAGGGAUUGCCUUAGUAACGGCGAGUGAAGCGGCAAAAGCUCAAAUUUGAAAGCUAGCACCUUCGGUGUUCGCGUUGUAAUUUGAAGAUAGUUUCCUUGAGUAGUCCUUUAUCUAUGUUCCUUGGAACAGGACGUCAUAGAGGGUGAGAACCCCGUAUGAUUUUGGAUACUACUCUUUGUGGGAUUCUAUCGAAGAGUC